AGCCGCGGUAAUACGUAGGGUGCGAGCGUUGUCCGGAAUUAUUGGGCGUAAAGAGCUUGUAGGCGGUUUGUCGCGUCUGCCGUGAAAAUCCGGGGCUCAACUCCGGACUUGCGGUGGGUACGGGCAGACUAGAGUGUGGUAGGGGAGACUGGAAUUCCUGGUGUAGCGGUGAAAUGCGCAGAUAUCAGGAGGAACACCGAUGGCGAAGGCAGGUCUCUGGGCCACUACUGACGCUGAGAAGCGAAAGCGUGGGGAGCGAACAGGAUUAGAUACCCUGGUAGUCCACGCCGUAAACGUUGGGAACUAGGUGUGGGUCUCAUUCCACGAGAUCCGUGCCGCAGCUAACGCAUUAAGUUCCCCGCCUGGGGAGUACGGCCGCAAGGCUAAAACUCAAAGGAAUUGACGGGGGCCCGCACAAGCGGCGGAGCAUGUGGAUUAAUUCGAUGCAACGCGAAGAACCUUACCAAGGCUUGACAUACACCGGAAACAUUCAGAGAUGGGUGCCCCGUAAGGUCGGUGUACAGGUGGUGCAUGGCC
This 537-nucleotide ribosomal RNA is filed under the name uncultured archaeon. RNAcentral's name for it is "bacterial SSU rRNA". It matches the Rfam family "Bacterial small subunit ribosomal RNA", at positions 513 to 1050 of the family's 1533-position model. The record is from RNAcentral.